UGCGUAUGCGUCCAGGAAAGUUAUUUGUUAAAGCCUUCGGCUUAACCGGAGAUAUGCAAGUAAAACUAUCUGGAUAGAGUUUAAGAGAGGAAAAUGGAAUUCCUGGUGUAGCGGUGACAUGCGUAGAUAUCAGGAGGAACAUCAAUGGCGAAGGCAGUUUUCUGGAUUAAAACUGACGCUGAGGCACGAAAGCGUGGGGAGCAAACAGGAUUAGAUACCCUGGUAGUCC
Molecule: ribosomal RNA, 229 nt
Filed under: uncultured bacterium
Lineage: Bacteria
Description: partial 16S ribosomal RNA
Rfam family: Bacterial small subunit ribosomal RNA
Source: RNAcentral